UUGUCUGUGUAUCUUUUUUUUUUUUUUUUUUUUCCGGUAUAAUGCUGUUUUGGUUACUGUAGGCCUUGUACUAUAAAGUCAGGUAAUGUGGUGCCUCCAGCCUUAUUAUUUUUGCGUAGGAUUACUAUGGCUAUUCAGGAUCUUUUUGGUUCCAUAUCAAUUUUAAAGUAGUUUUUUUUUCUAAUUCUAUGAAUAAUGUCAUUGGUGUUUGAUGGGAAUAGCAUUGAAUCUGUAAAUUGCAUUUGGCAGUAUGGCCAUUUUAACAGUAUUGAUUCUUCCUAACUAUGAGCAUGGAAUGUUUUUCUGUGUUGUCUCUGAUUUCUUUGAGCAGUGUUUUAUAAUUCUUACUGUAGAGAUCCUUUACCUCUCUGUUUAGCUGUAUUGCUAGGUAUUUUAUUCCUUUUUUUGUGGCUAUAGUGAAUUGGAUUGCAUUCUUGAUUUGGCUGUCAGCUUGGAUGUUGUUUAUAUAUAGGAAUGAUAUGAUUUUUGUACGUUGAUUUUGUUUCCUGAAACUUUGCUAAAGUUGUUUGUCAGUUCAAGAAGUUUUGGGGCAGAUGCUAUAAGGUUUCUAGCUAGAGAGCUAUAUAGUUCUAAAUUGAAAACUUUCUGGAAAGGAUUCACCAUUCUAGAUGGCAUUAAGAACAUUCAUUUCUAGGUAGAAAACCAUAUAGUGUGCAACAGGGAUAGUUUGACUUCAUUUUUUCCUAUUUGAUUGCCUUUCAUUCCUUUUUCUUGCCUAAUUGCCGUGUCCAGGAUGUCCGGUACUAUGUUGAAUAUAGUAGUGAGAUAGGGCUUCCUGUGUUCUGGUUUUCCAGGAGAAUGCUUCCAACUUUUGCCCAUGCAGUAUAAUGUUGGCUGUGGGUUUGUCAUAGAUGGCUCUUAUUAUUUUGAAGUACCUUUCUUCAGUGUCUAGUUUGUUGAGGGUUUUUAACAUGAAGGGAUGUUGAAUUAUAUUGAAAGCCUUUUCUGCAUCUAUUGAGAUAAUAAUGUGGUUUUUGUUUUCAGUUUUAUUUAUAAGAUGAAUGACAUUUAUUGACAUGUAUGUUGAGCCAAUCUUUUAUCCCAAAGAUAAAUCCUGCUUGAUUGUGGUGAAUUAGCUUUUUGAUAUACUGCUGGAUAUAGUUUACUAGUAUUUUGUUGGGGACUUUUGCAUCUAUGUUCAUCAAUGAUGUUGGCCUGCAGUUUUUUUAUUUUAUUGUCUCACAACAUUUUAAACAUUUCCAUUAUUAUUAUAUAUGUUAUGGUUAUUGGUGAUAUUCAAGUUUUAAUUGUUUUAGGGUACCAUGAUCUGUGUUCAUGUAAAAUGCUAAGCUUAAUUGGUAAAUGUUGCAUGUAUUCUGACUGCUCCACUGACCAGUCUUCCACUGUCUCCUCCUGCACCUCUCUAUUCCUUGAGACACAACAAUUAUGAAAUUAGGCAAUUUAUAACCUUACAG
Sapajus apella (tufted capuchin) is the source of this 1436-nucleotide long non-coding RNA. RefSeq lists it as uncharacterized. NCBI's taxonomy places the organism in Eukaryota, Metazoa, Chordata, Mammalia, Primates, Cebidae. The transcript has 3 exons. The record is from RefSeq and is a predicted model, not a curated record.